GUUCAGGAAAAGAGUUUUAGCUCUACCUUAAGCUUCUUGAUUACACCAAAAACCCCUUAAAACUUAAGAGCUAUUCAAAUAAGGCACAGCUUAUUUGAAAUAGGACACAACCUCCGACACCGGGUAAACAAGGGUGAUUCAAACAAAGUCGGCCUAAAAGCAGCCACCUUUAAAAAAGCGUUAAAGCUUAAUUUUAAACUGCCCGCAAUUUCCUAAAUUCCCAUUAACCCUUCACCACUACUGAACUAUUUUAUACUCUAUAAAAGCUAUUAUGCUAGAACUAGUAACAAGAAAUAGCCCUUCUCCAAAAUGUAAGCUCACACCAAAAUGGACAAUCCAUUGGUAAUUAACACAAAUGUUAUAAUCACAGCAACACACCUCUAGAAAACCCUGUGACCUCUUACGUUACCCUUACACUUGAACAUUUCAGGAAAGAUCAAAAGAGAAAGAAGGAACUCGGCAAAUCCUCAGCCCCGCCUGUUUACCAAAAACAUCGCCUCUUGACCAAAUAUAAGAGGUCCAGCCUGCCCAGUGAUAAAAUUCAACGGCCGCGGUACCCUAACCGUGCGAAGGUAGCAUAAUCACUUGUUCUCUAAAUAGGGACUAGUAUCAACGGCACCACGAGGGCUGCACUGUCUCCUUUCUCCCAUCAGUGAAACUGAUCUCCCCGUGAAAAAGCGGGGAUUACUAUAUAAGACGAGAAGACCCCAUGGAGCUUUAAACUCAUCACCCACUUCCUCACUCCUAUGCCCAAUCAUAUAAGGAACCUGUGUGAUAGUUUUGGGUUGGGGGGACCACGGAGUACAAUUCAACCUCCAUGACAAAUGGGCUACGCCUUAUCUACGAACUACAACUCUAAGAAUCAUAAGCUGAUGUUUAAUGACCCGAUAAUUCGAUCAACGAACCAAGUUACCCUGGGGAUAACAGCGCAAUCUACUUUAAGAGCCCCUAUCGACAAGUAGGUUUACGACCUCGAUGUUGGAUCAGGGUAUCCUGGGGGUGCAGCCGCUCCUAACGGUUCGUUUGUUCAACGAUUAAAACCCU
Molecule: ribosomal RNA, 1044 nt
Filed under: Nidirana chapaensis (glandular-sided frog)
Lineage: Eukaryota; Metazoa; Chordata; Amphibia; Anura; Ranidae
Description: partial 16S ribosomal RNA
Rfam family: Bacterial large subunit ribosomal RNA
Source: RNAcentral